AGCUCCAAUAGCGUAUAUUAAUGUUGUUGCAGUUAAAAAGCUCGUAGUUGGAUUUUGGGCAAAUUUCUUGGCUGGUCGCAUUUGAGGUGAAAAUUUAUUUUCAUUUCUUUUGUGUUUAUAAGAGGGAUUAAAGGGGGAGUCAAAUCUUUUUUUAAUCUUUUUUACUAGUUGGGUUUGCCUUUACUUUCUUUUAUUUUUCUUAAAGAUCUAGUGUACUCUUUACCGGGUGUGCUAGAGAUUUAGGACUUUUACUUUGAAAAAAUUAGAGUGUUCAAAGCAGGCGUUAAAUUUUUUUUAUUGCUUGAAUACAUUAGCAUGGAAUAAUGAAAUAGGACUUUGGUUCUACUUUUCGUUGGUUUCUAGGACCGAAGUAAUGAUUAAUAGGGAUGGUUGGGGUGGUUAGUAUUUAAUUGUCAGAGGUGAAAUUCUUGGAUUUAUGAAAGACUAACUUCUGCGAAAGCAUUCCACAAGGACGUUUUCA
Molecule: ribosomal RNA, 481 nt
Filed under: uncultured eukaryote
Lineage: Eukaryota
Description: partial small subunit ribosomal RNA
Rfam family: Eukaryotic small subunit ribosomal RNA
Source: RNAcentral